CGGGUGAGUAACACGUGGGCAAUCUGCCCUGCACUCUGGGACAAGCCCUGGAAACGGGGUCUAAUACCGGAUACUGACCGUCACGGGCAUCCGUGAGGGUCGAAAGCUCCGGCGGUGCAGGAUGAGCCCGCGGCCUAUCAGCUUGUUGGUGAGGUAACGGCUCACCAAGGCGACGACGGGUAGCCGGCCUGAGAGGGCGACCGGCCACACUGGGACUGAGACACGGCCCAGACUCCUACGGGAGGCAGCAGUGGGGAAUAUUGCACAAUGGGCGAAAGCCUGAUGCAGCGACGCCGCGUGAGGGAUGACGGCCUUCGGGUUGUAAACCUCUUUCAGCAGGGAAGAAGCGAAAGUGACGGUACCUGCAGAAGAAGCGCCGGCUAACUACGUGCCAGCAGCCGCGGUAAUACGUAGGGCGCGAGCGUUGUCCGGAAUUAUUGGGCGUAAAGAGCUCGUAGGCGGCUUGUCACGUCGGUUGUGAAAGCCCGGGGCUUAACCCCGGGUCUGCAGUCGAUACGGGCAGGCUAGAGUUCGGUAGGGGAGAUCGGAAUUCCUGGUGUAGCGGUGAAAUGCGCAGAUAUCAGGAGGAACACCGGUGGCGAAGGCGGAUCUCUGGGCCGAUACUGACGCUGAGGAGCGAAAGCGUGGGGAGCGAACAGGAUUAGAUACCCUGGUAGUCCACGCCGUAAACGGUGGGCACUAGGUGUGGGCGACAUUCCACGUCGUCCGUGCCGCAGCUAACGCAUUAAGUGCCCCGCCUGGGGAGUACGGCCGCAAGGCUAAACUCAAAGGAAUUGACGGGGGCCCGCA
This 810-nucleotide ribosomal RNA is filed under the name Streptomyces malachitofuscus. RNAcentral describes it as "bacterial SSU rRNA". It matches the Rfam family "Bacterial small subunit ribosomal RNA", at positions 103 to 925 of the family's 1533-position model. Lineage: Bacteria; Bacillati; Actinomycetota; Actinomycetes; Kitasatosporales; Streptomycetaceae. The record is from RNAcentral.